GACGAACGCUGGCGGCGUGCUUAACACAUGCAAGUCGAACGAAGCACUUAUCUUUGAUUCUUCGGAUGAAGAGGUUUGUGACUGAGUGGCGGACGGGUGAGUAACGCGUGGGUAACCUGCCUCAUACAGGGGGAUAACAGUUAGAAAUGACUGCUAAUACCGCAUAAGACCACGGAGCCGCAUGGCUCAGUGGGAAAAACUCCGGUGGUAUGAGAUGGACCCGCGUCUGAUUAGGUAGUUGGUGGGGUAACGGCCUACCAAGCCAACGAUCAGUAGCCGACCUGAGAGGGUGACCGGCCACAUUGGGACUGAGACACGGCCCAAACUCCUACGGGAGGCAGCAGUGGGGAAUAUUGCACAAUGGGGGAAACCCUGAUGCAGCGACGCCGCGUGAGCGAAGAAGUAUUUCGGUAUGUAAAGCUCUAUCAGCAGGGAAGAAAAUGACGGUACCUGACUAAGAAGCACCGGCUAAAUACGUG
Molecule: ribosomal RNA, 479 nt
Filed under: uncultured bacterium
Lineage: Bacteria
Description: partial 16S ribosomal RNA
Rfam family: Bacterial small subunit ribosomal RNA
Source: RNAcentral